GCCGUGGUGGCUCAGUAGGGUAGCGAAUUAGCUAUGGCGCAGAAGGUCGAGGGUUCGAACCCCUCUAACGUCA
Caenorhabditis elegans is the source of this 73-nucleotide non-coding RNA. The record is from the annotation of a RefSeq genome assembly. Lineage: Eukaryota; Metazoa; Nematoda; Chromadorea; Rhabditida; Rhabditidae.